This 414-nucleotide ribosomal RNA is filed under the name uncultured bacterium. Its description in RNAcentral is "bacterial SSU rRNA". It matches the Rfam family "Bacterial small subunit ribosomal RNA", at positions 398 to 805 of the family's 1533-position model. The record is from RNAcentral.
CGCGUGAGUGAAGAAGGCUUCGGGUUGUAAAGCUCUUUCGGCAGGAAAGAAAUCAUUACUCCUAAUACGAGUGAUGGAUGACGGUACCUGAAGAAGAAGCACCGGCUAACUACGUGCCAGCAGCCGCGGUAAUACGUAGGGUGCGAGCGUUAAUCGGAAUUACUGGGCGUAAAGCGUGCGCAGGCGGUUUUGCAAGUCAGAUGUGAAAGCCCCGGGCUCAACCUGGGAAUGGCGUUUGAAACUGCAAGGCUAGAGUGUGUCAGAGGGGGGUAGAAUUCCACGUGUAGCAGUGAAAUGCGUAGAGAUGUGGAGGAAUACCGAUGGCGAAGGCAGCCCCCUGGGAUAACACUGACGCUCAUGCACGAAAGCGUGGGGAGCAAACAGGAUUAGAUACCCUGGUAGUCCACGCCCUAA